This 18-nucleotide transfer RNA is filed under the name Crotaphytus collaris. Its description in RNAcentral is "partial tRNA-Met". Lineage: Eukaryota; Metazoa; Chordata; Lepidosauria; Squamata; Crotaphytidae. RNAcentral also lists the same sequence under 1 other name. The record is from RNAcentral.
UAAAUCCCUCCUAUACUA